AAAAGGAAAAGGUAUUCAAACUUUGUAAAAUGCUUUGAAACUCUGGGUCAUUUGCUAAGCUCAAACAGAUUUUACCCAAGUUUAGGGGUAAGAAGCCACAGUGGCCACAGCAGGGAAACGUGAGCCCUCCUCCAUCCCUCCCCUUCCUGUCACAAGCCUUGUCUGCAGACUGCGGCUGGCUGGCGUCAGAGGAAAAAGGCUCCUUUAUGCUUCAUAGCUGAGACAUUCCCUAAACGUGAGCUCAUAGACACGGCCGCAGAUCAACACCAGUAGAUUUCAGACAUGGCCUAGGGAAGCAGACUGGCAGAUGAAUCAGAAAAGGCUGGGGCCUAACAAUGCAGUAUUACUGAAUCUUUUCAAAAUCUUCUCCUUGGCUUGGGUGAAAAAAAAAUCUCCCUAAAAUGCGAUGGCCUCAUCCUUCACUUCAUCCUUUGUUCUGUACAAGGCUGCAUGGAGCAAAGUUAGGAAAAACAAACAAAGGUACUGUUGUGUUCUGACUCAGCCUGUCCCCUGAGCCUCAGCAAAGCUGCUCUCAGAGGCCGACUGACGGCCCCGCAGCUGGGCUCUCUUCCUUUCCCACGUCACACCCAAAAGCAAAGCAGGGUCUUCCAAGCAGGCAGAGAAGAUCCGGGAGGUCAGGGCCAUGGGUUACCACGCUCACUCCCACGAGCCUCUACGGCACAGGCAGAGGCCCCUCAACUCACCGUCAGGGCGCUGGGACAGCACUGCAGUGAGGGAUGGAGCACCGUAAGGAAAGUAGGUCUUGAGGGCAAACUUCACCUGUAAGAGUCAAGAUGGAGUGGCAUGAAUGCUGGGACCUCUGCCUGCUCCCAGCCCUGGAGACCCACUGUUCUAACAGCAGGAGGUGGCCUCAGACGUUUUGUAAACAUGCUUCCCAUAACCUAAUCUCAUAAGCAGCCGAAACAACAUCCUUUAGCAAUCACCUUCUGGAACUCAGGGAAGUCACAUUCUCUUGCUGCCAUCUUUACCGAGGUGUCUCCUCACACAAGCCCAGCCACAGAAAUUAUCUUCAGUUUCAGAGAGGGAUGCUAAACACGCAUGGAACCCGGUGUCUCAGUGUGGCACAGUCAGGGUCUCUAACAAGCUUCUCUUAUGCUGAGGACGUGGGGUUAUACUUACAAACCAGUCAAAGGCACAGAGGUUUUGAAAUAAAGCAAACACUCAACAACAUAACCAGGUAAAGUCUAAAACACACGAGCUAUACAGGCCUACGUAUGCACACGGCUUGAUAAUCGUGGAUGAGUGUGUGAUUCCACCUGACCAGGACCUCAUCGUGACACGCACAAUGCUGCCAUCACUCGGGGGAGUUCCCUGUGACUCUUAAACCCUAGCCUGGCAAUCAGUAUUUUUAUUUCACACAGGAGAGAUCGAUAAUUAGGUCACUUAUUCCCCAAAGAUCACACAGUCAGACACGCUGAGUGUGCCUGCAUCUGCAUCUAGUCUUUUGCGCUGCUUAGAAGUCAUGAAUACACCAGGAUUCGCUUGUCUACCCCUCAAAGAUGAGUACAACUAAAACUGCCACUGGCAUGCAUGUCUAUUUUUGUGCCUAGGUCUUUCAGUUUCCUAGGGUGAGCACCAUGGGAGUGGUGACAUUUCAAGGCCAACAGUGUCCCUUCCCACCAUCACAGGAUGAGAAUUGCUUGCCAACACUGGGUGUUCUGGAACUCAUUGGUUUUAGCUGGUUUCCUGGCGUGAAACAUUACUUCAUACAUGCUUGUUUUUGAGCUUUCUCUGUGUGGCAGGUGAUGCUGAAGCCUGUUCAUGUGUGCAGCGUUACUUUGAAUAGCUUUCUGAAGUGUGUGACCAUAAAACAAACAGACAAACAAAAAAAACUGAUGUGUCUCCUAUGAAGCUGUAAGAGACAAGUCUUCCAGGAUAAAUACUGCAGAUAGUUCCUCUAAGCUGCUGGACAACCUGUUCAUCUUCCAAGACAUCUACUACAGAAUAGACAUGGUAUUUUAAUGCAAGUCCAAUUUAUCCAUCUUUUCUGUAUGGCCAAUGUUUUGUUUUGUUUCUUUUCUGUUUGGCAUUGUUUCUAGGAAAUCUUUGAUUAUCCAUUGUUAAAAAAGAGGAUAUGCUAUGGCAUUUUCUCCUAAGGGCUUUAUAGUUUUGACUUCUCUAUUGAAGCCUAUGACCCAUCUCAGAGCACCUUCUGGGUGCCUUCUAUGGAAGUCUGAGGUUUGCCCUCCCCACAAGUGGGUAUCCAGUGGUUUUACACCCUCUCUCACUAUGCUGCCCUGGCGUCUGUCAAAGCUCCUAUGAAUGCGUCUGUACCCUGCCACCCCUCACUGGCUUAAUUACUAUAGUGUGAGUCCUCAAGCUGUUUGCUUUCUGGCUUUUGUGGGUCCUUUGUAUGUCCAGCUUAGCCUGAGAAUCAGCCUGUGAAUUUGCAUUUGAGAAACCCUGCUGCAGGGGCCAGAGUCUGCCAUACAAGACCCUAGGUGUGAUUCCCAGCCUCACAGAGGCCAGAAUCUGUCACUCGAGGCCCUGGGCUUGAUUCCCAGCCCUGCAGAGGGGUCACUGCUCACCUGAGAGGAAACGAGGAACAGAAGGGCAGGCUGGGGAACAGACUUGGGGCUGCAUUAGUUGCCCUCAGCAACCAGCUCCCAGGUAUUCUGUGGGCUGGGCCUGUCCACACAUUCCGUUUCCUGCCUGUUUAUGAUCGGCAGGUCUCCUGGUGAACUGAUAGUCUGCCACUGUGACCGCCACUGUCUAAUCCUGUCUUCUCUACUCUACAAGUCAGUGUGCUCUCCACUCCUGAGGACCCUGCACUUCUUUCUAUGCAUCAGCUCUCUGUCUUGAGAAUGGGGUCUCUGAAAACAACACGUACUGGGUCUUGUUUCAGAUUCAAUCCGACAUGCCUGCCUUUUUACUCUCCAUCAUUUGAUUUUCCUAAUUGAACCUCCCUUCAACAUGUUGGGAUUGGAGCUGCUAUCUUUUGGCAUGGUUUCUUUCUGUUUCCUACCUCAGGAGUUCUGGGACCACCUUGAGUUAUGGUUCUACGCCCUGCUGUCCCAGGGGCCUUAGUGAGAAGUGGGCAUGGUUCCCCUGCUGAGGCCCUCCCUGCUCUUGUCAGCUGUGCCGGAUUUAACAGUACUCCACCCCGUGGGAUGGCAUCAUCUACAGGAGACUCAACAGUCAGGAGCUGUCUAUCUGUUCAACUGCUGGAAUCCACCCUGACCUGAGGCUGUCUGUGCUCCACAGAGGCUUAGAAUGUGAGCUCAAGUUCUCGCCUGCUGCUGAGCAGGGCACACAGGAGCGGCCCUUUGGACGCUUCCUUUGUGAACAAGGCUCCAUCAACAUUUCUGAACACAAGGCUGGGAGUGGAGCCAGUGUCUAAGCAUGCGCCUAGCACGUGUGAGGCUGUGGGUGGUCUGCAGUGCCAGGAAGACACGAUGUCUCAGGGUAAAGAUGCUUUCAGAUGGUUACCGAAUGCCCACGGAAAAUCCUGCACACGGAGGGGACUGAGCAAGCGGUUCACGGUGCGACGUACCUGCUUGUUCUCUCUUCCCAGAGCUUCUGCCAAGCACCAGGUGAAUACACGGAGAGCGGCUAGUACUUCUGGGGCUCCGUCAGUCUCCAGCAGCACAACCCUGAACAAAGUAAAGUGAGGAGACAACUCUGUGCUGGCAUGCCACGGCUUGGGCUCUGCCUCACUCCCUCCUGAGGGGAGGAAGGCCGGGAGGGGGCAGCCCCCCUUCCAGUCCCUGCCACACACCCUCCCCACGGGCUGGCUGCUGCGCUCAUGCUCAUGGCCCGGACAGUGCCAGCAACAGCAGGUGUUCUGUUUUCGCCAGCUGGGACAGAGCUCCCUGGAGAGUGGCACACUCCUGGGGAGUCGGGUGGACUUGGUUUGGUUUCCAAGCAUUUUUAUACAAUUAACUUUUCUUUUUGUUAAAGAAAAAAAGUUUUUUUUCAAACUUGACUAGCCUUAAAUAAAAACACUACCAGUACUCUUA
This is a long non-coding RNA of Mesocricetus auratus (golden hamster), 3980 nucleotides long. RefSeq lists it as uncharacterized. The record is from RefSeq and is a predicted model, not a curated record. NCBI's taxonomy places the organism in Eukaryota, Metazoa, Chordata, Mammalia, Rodentia, Cricetidae. The transcript has 2 exons.